This is a long non-coding RNA of Oncorhynchus tshawytscha (Chinook salmon), 1871 nucleotides long. NCBI's taxonomy places the organism in Eukaryota, Metazoa, Chordata, Actinopteri, Salmoniformes, Salmonidae. The record is from Ensembl.
CUUGUUUUCAGUUUAUUCCACAACUCUUACGAUCUUCUGAAGAUAUCAACAAUUUAACAAAUUGUCAUUUUCCAAUAAAAACACAGUGUAACAUUUUAAAGGGAACGAGGUUUAAACUGAAACACUUAAACCAGUUUAACAUACAGAGAAACAUUUGGCUUCAAACCAGUUUGGCAGCUUAGUUUUAGGAGGAACAUUUCAACCAAAGGUACUGGAUGGAUGAAGAUCAAGCCAGGGUCCCAAAUGGCACCCUAUCCCCUAUAUAGCGCACUACUUUUGACCGGAGCCCUAUUGGUCAAAGUAAAUCCCAGUGUACACUACUUUCAGUAGUGCACUACGUAGGGAAUAGGGUGCCUUUAGGAAUGUAUGGUGAUGGAGGCCUCUCCACACACAGACAUAACGUUAAUCCACUCUCACAGACACACAGAGAGAUGGGCAGAGUACUAACGGAUUGGGACAGGAUGACUGGCAGUACUAACCGAUUGGGACAGGACAGCUGGCUGAAUACUAACAAAUUGGGACAGGACGGCUGGCAGAAUACUAACGGAUUGGGACAGGACGGCUGGCUGAAUACUAACGGAUUGGGACAGGAUGGCUGGCUGAAUACUAACGGAUUGGGACAGGAUGGCUGGCUGAAUACUCUACUAACGGAUUGGGACAGUAUGGCUGGCAGAAUACUAACGGAUUGGGACAGGACGGCUGGCUGAAUACUCUACCAACGGAUUGGGACAGGAUGGUUGGCAGAAUACUAACGGAUUGGGACAGGACGGCUGGCUGAAUAAUAACGGAUUGGGACAGGAUGGCUGGCUGAAUACUCUACUAACGGAUUGGGACAGGACGGCUGGCUGAAUACUUGACUAACGGAUUGGGACAGGAUGGCUGGCUGAAUACUUGACUAACGGAUUGGGACAGGACGGCUGGCACAAUACUAACGGAUUGGGACAGGAUGGCUGGCUGAAGACUCUACCAACGGAUUGGGACAGAAUGGCUGGCAGAAUACUAACGGAAUGGGACAGGACUGCUGGCAGAAUACUAAUGGAUUGGGACAGGACGGCUGGCUGAUAUGGACUAUGGAUUGCUAAUUUAAGGGCAUCGGUGGGAUUAAAUCUCUAAGGAAUAAGGCUGGAUAACAUGAGGCCCAGUCUGCGCUGUACGAGGGUAGCAGUUUAAAUGAUAUUACAUGUGUCACAACUCAACACUGCAGAAACAGGGUCAAAACAGUCUACCUGUAAACCUGUAUUCGGAUCAAAUACACACACACACACACACACACACACACACACACACACACACACACACACACACACACACACACACCACAUAAUGCCUUAUGCAGGAAUGCGUACAGGAUUACUUGAUGCUUUGCAAGAACAGGCCACAGGAAGGUAGAGAAUGGCUAAAUUACUCCUUCAUAUUUAAAUCCCCCCUGAUGUAGAGAAUGGCUAAAUUACUCCUUCAUAUUUAAAUCCCCCUGAUGUAGAGAAUGGCUAAAUUACUCCUUCAUAUUUAAAUCCCCCUGAUGUAGAGAAUGGCUAAAUUACUCCUUCAUAUUUAAAUCCCCCCUGAUGUAGAGAAUGGCUAAAUUACUCCUUCAUAUUUAAUAAAUCCCCCUGAUGUAGAGAAUGGCUAAAAUACUCCUUAAUAUUUAAAUCCCCCUGAUGUAGAGAAUGGCUAAAUUACUCCUUCAUAUUUAAAUCCCCCUGAUGUAGAGAAUGGCUAAAUUACUCCUUCAUAUUUAAAUCCCCCUGAUGUAGAGAAUGGCUAAAUUACUCCUUCAUAUUUAAUAAAUCCCCUGAUGUAGAGAAUGGCUAAAUUACUCCUUCAUAUUUAAAUCCCCCUGACUUAGAGAAUGGCUAAAUUACUCCUUCAUA